RNAcentral lists this ribosomal RNA (529 nucleotides) under uncultured bacterium. RNAcentral's name for it is "bacterial SSU rRNA". It matches the Rfam family "Bacterial small subunit ribosomal RNA", at positions 284 to 811 of the family's 1533-position model. The record is from RNAcentral.
UAGGGGUUCUGAGAGGAAGGUCCCCCACACUGGUACUGAGACACGGACCAGACUCCUACGGGAGGCAGCAGUGAGGAAUAUUGGUCAAUGGGCGAGAGCCUGAACCAGCCAAGUCGCGUGAGGGAUGACGGGUCUAUGGCCUGUAAACCUCUUUUGUGAAGGAAGAACCGCGGGGACGCGUCCCCGCCUGCCAGUACUUCACGAAUAAGCAUCGGCUAACUCCGUGCCAGCAGCCGCGGUAACACGGGGGAUGCGAGCGUUAUCCGGAUUCAUUGGGUUUAAAGGGAGCGUAGGCGGCCCGACAAGUCAGCGGUAAAAGACUGCAGCUAAACCGUAGCACGCCGUUGAAACUGCCGGGCUAGAGUGCAGACGAGGUUGGCGGAACAGGUGAAGUAGCGGUGAAAUGCAUAGAUAUCACCUGGAACCCCGACAGCGAAGGCAGCUGACCAGGCUGUAACUGACGCUGAUGCUCGAGAGCGUGGGUAGCGAACAGGAUUAGAUACCCUGGUAGUCCACGCCGUAAACGAUG